GGUACGUACUCGCGUGCUCGCAAGUCUGUGCUUGAAGUACGGACUUGCCAAGUACGUACUUGCAAGUCAUCGAGUCCGUAGUACGCGUGCUAGGAAUUGAGAAACGGCCUUACACACCGCUAAAUCGGAAACCAAAGAUGAACCAUGGAAAGAUCUCGCAGAGCAGCUUGUUCCAGGAACUUGGUUGGAGAAAACUGGACAUGAUAUCGAGGGACUUCCACCACAGGAAUAUGGGAACGACUGUGGGAUCUUCAUGAUUAUGUACGCUUGGUACCUUGCCAUGGAGGCACCAUUUGACUUCACUGUUAAAGACAUGCCAGUCCUCAGAAAAUGGUGGUGCACAGUACAGCUUGAGAACUUCCACCUGGAUGGGCACGGUAGAAGGUUCGCACACUUCACGGAGGAGGCCAAACAAAUGGCGGUUGGACUACUUCCACCAGUCUUCAGACUGAAGCGAAAAAGAGAAUGAGUUGGAGCUGAUGGCAGCAUGAAGAACCUAUAUCUUUAAGAUUCUGUAGAUUAUGUGUUGAAUAAAUUGUGAGGAA
This is a long non-coding RNA of Gadus morhua (Atlantic cod), 545 nucleotides long. RefSeq lists it as uncharacterized. The transcript has 7 exons. The record is from RefSeq and is a predicted model, not a curated record. Lineage: Eukaryota; Metazoa; Chordata; Actinopteri; Gadiformes; Gadidae.